AACAGGAUUAGAUACCCUGGUAGUCCACGCCGUAAACGAUGUCGACUUGGAGGUUGUGCCCUUGAGGCGUGGCUUCCGGAGCUAACGCGUUAAGUCGACCGCCUGGGGAGUACGGCCGCAAGGUUAAAACUCAAAUGAAUUGACGGGGGCCCGCACAAGCGGUGGAGCAUGUGGUUUAAUUCGAUGCAACGCGAAGAACCUUACCUGGCCUUGACAUCCAGAGAACUUAGCAGAGAUGGAUUGGUGCCUUCGGGAACUGUGAGACAGGUGCUGCAUGGCUGUCGUCAGCUCGUGUUGUGAAAUGUUGGGUUAAGUCCCGCAACGAGCGCAACCCUUAUCCUUUGUUGCCAGCGAUUAGGUCGGGAACUCAAAGGAGACUGCCAGUGAUAAACUGGAGGAAGGUGGGGAUGACGUCAAGUCAUCAUGGCCCUUACGACCAGGGCUACACACGUGCUACAAUGGCGCAUACAAAGAGAAGCGACCUCGCGAGAGCAAGCGGACCUCAUAAAGUGCGUCGUAGUCCGGAUCGGAGUCUGCAACUCGACUCCGUGAAGUCGGAAUCGCUAGUAAUCGUAGAUCAGAAUGCUACGGUGAAUACGUUCCCGGGCCUUGUACACACCGCCCGUCACACCAUGGGAGUGGGUUGCAAAAGAAGUAGGUAGCUUAACCUUCGGGAGGGCGCUUACCACUUUGUGAUUCAUGACUGGGGUGAAGUCGUAACAAGGUAACC
This 730-nucleotide ribosomal RNA is filed under the name uncultured bacterium. RNAcentral describes it as "bacterial SSU rRNA". It matches the Rfam family "Bacterial small subunit ribosomal RNA", at positions 771 to 1501 of the family's 1533-position model. The record is from RNAcentral.